This 445-nucleotide ribosomal RNA is filed under the name uncultured bacterium. RNAcentral describes it as "partial 16S ribosomal RNA". It matches the Rfam family "Bacterial small subunit ribosomal RNA", at positions 354 to 796 of the family's 1533-position model. The record is from RNAcentral.
GUAAGGAAUAUUGGUCAAUGGACGAAAGUCUGAACCAGCCAUGCCGCGUGGAGGAUGAAGGUCCUCUGGAUUGUAAACUUCUUUUAUAUGGGACGAAAAAAGGCUUUUCUAAGUCGUCUGACGGUACCAUAUGAAUAAGCACCGGCUAACUCCGUGCCAGCAGCCGCGGUAAUACGGAGGGUGCAAGCGUUAUCCGGAUUCACUGGGUUUAAAGGGUGCGUAGGUGGAUUGCCAAGUCCGUGGUGAAAUCUUCGAGCUUAACUCGGAAACUGCCAUGGAUACUGGUGAUCUUGAAUAUCGUGGAGGUUAGCGGAAUAUGUCAUGUAGCGGUGAAAUGCUUAGAUAUGACAUAGAACACCAAUUGCGAAGGCAGCUGGCUACGCGAAUAUUGACACUCAGGCACGAAAGCGUGGGGAUCAAACAGGAUUAGAAACCCGAGUAGUCC